AUUGAACGCUGGCGGCAGGCUUAACACAUGCAAGUCGAGCGGGGGAAGGUAGCUUGCUACUGGACCUAGCGGCGGACGGGUGAGUAAUGCUUAGGAAUCUGCCUAUUAGUGGGGGACAACAUCUCGAAAGGGAUGCUAAUACCGCAUACGUCCUACGGGAGAAAGCAGGGGAUCUUCGGACCUUGCGCUAAUAGAUGAGCCUAAGUCGGAUUAGCUAGUUGGUGGGGUAAAGGCCUACCAAGGCGACGAUCUGUAGCGGGUCUGAGAGGAUGAUCCGCCAUACUGGGACUGAGACACGGCCCAGACUCCUACGGGAGGCAGCAGUGGGGAAUAUUGGACAAUGGGGGGAACCCUGAUCCAGCCAUGCCGCGUGUGUGAAGAAGGCCUUAUGGUUGUAAAGCACUUUAAGCGAGGAGGAGGCUACUUUAGUUAAUACCUAGAGAUAGUGGACGUUACUCGCAGAAUAAGCACCGGCUAACUCAGUGCCAGCAGCCGCGGUAA
This 501-nucleotide ribosomal RNA is filed under the name uncultured bacterium. RNAcentral describes it as "partial 16S ribosomal RNA". It matches the Rfam family "Bacterial small subunit ribosomal RNA", at positions 30 to 523 of the family's 1533-position model. The record is from RNAcentral.